Molecule: ribosomal RNA, 271 nt
Filed under: uncultured archaeon
Lineage: Archaea
Description: partial 16S ribosomal RNA
Rfam family: Archaeal small subunit ribosomal RNA
Source: RNAcentral
CAGCGCCAUAAGUGGCAAUCAUGAUUAUUGGGCCUAAAGCGUCCGUAGCCGGUUUGAUAAGUCUUCUGUGAAAUCGUUGGGCUUAACCUAACGGAUUGCAGAAGACACUUCAUAGCUUGGGACCGGAAGGGGUUAGGAGUAUUUUUUGGGGAGCGGUAAAAUGCUAUAAUCCAAAAAAGACUACCUGUGGCGAAGGCGCCUAACCAGUACGGAUCCGACGGUGAGGAACGAAAGCUAGGGGAGCGAUCCGGAUUAGAGACCCGAGUAGUCC